RNAcentral lists this ribosomal RNA (359 nucleotides) under uncultured bacterium. RNAcentral describes it as "bacterial SSU rRNA". It matches the Rfam family "Bacterial small subunit ribosomal RNA", at positions 61 to 422 of the family's 1533-position model. The record is from RNAcentral.
GUCGAUCUGGUGGCAACACCGGUGAAAACUCAGUGGCGAACGGGUGCGGAACACGUGAGCAACCUGCCCCAAAGACCGGGAUAACACCGGGAAACUGGUGCUAAUACCGGAUACCCCCACGAGCUCGCAUGGGCUUGUGAGGAAAGGGUUUCCGCUUUGGGAGGGGCUCGCGGCCUAUCAGCUUGUUGGUGAGGUAACGGCUCACCAAGGCGACGACGGGUAGCUGGUCUGAGAGGACGAUCAGCCACACUGGGACUGAGACACGGCCCAGACUCCUACGGGAGGCAGCAGUGGGGAAUCUUGCGCAAUGGGCGAAAGCCUGACGCAGCAACGCCGCGUGGGGGAUGAAGGCCUUCGGG